RNAcentral lists this unclassified non-coding RNA (375 nucleotides) under soil metagenome. RNAcentral's name for it is "partial contains 5.8S ribosomal RNA, internal transcribed spacer 2, and large subunit ribosomal RNA". The stretch from base 1 to 120 matches the Rfam family "5.8S ribosomal RNA", at positions 35 to 154 of the family's 154-position model. The record is from RNAcentral.
GAUGUAGAACGCAGCGAAAUGCGAUAAGUAAUGUGAAUUGCAGAAUUCAGUGAAUCAUCGAAUCUUUGAACGCACAUUGCGCCCGCCAGUAUUCUGGCGGGCAUGCCUGUUCGAGCGUCAUUUCAACCCUCAAGACCCCUUCGGGGGACUUGGUGUUGGGGACCGGCACAGGGGCCUGCCUGCUUGUCUUGCAGCGCCCUCGCCGCCCCCGAAAUGAAUUGGCGGCCUCGUCGCGGCCUCCCCUGCGUAGUAGCACAAACCUCGCAACGGGAACGUGACGGCGGCCACUGCCGUAAAACAACCCAAUUUUAUUAGAGUUGACCUCGAAUCAGGUAGGAAUACCCGCUGAACUUAAGCAUAUCAAUAAGCGGAGGA